AGCAGCCGCGGUAAUUCCAGCUCCAAUAGCGUAUAUUAAAGUUGCUGCAGUUAAAAGCUCGUAGUUGAAUUUCGGGAUCAAUAUGUUGGUCGUGCCUUGGUACGUACUGGCCUAUUGGUUUCUUCCUUCUGACGAACCAUGAUGUCAUUAAUUUGGUGUCUUGGGAAAUCAGGACUGUUACUUUGAAAAAUUGAGUGUUUAAAGCAGGCUCACGCUUGAAUACAUUAGCAUGGAAUAAUAAAAUAGGACGUUUGAUUCUAUUUUGUUGGUUUCUAGGAUCGACGUAAUGAUUAAUAGGGAUAGUUGGGGGCAUUAGUAUUCAAUUGUCAGAGGUGAAAUUCUUGGAUUUAUUGAAGACUAACUACUGCGAAAGCAUUUGCCAAGGAUGUUUUCAUUAAUCAAGGACGAAAGUUAGGGAUCGAAGACGAUCAGAUAC
This 436-nucleotide ribosomal RNA is filed under the name uncultured Glomeromycotina. RNAcentral's name for it is "SSU rRNA". It matches the Rfam family "Eukaryotic small subunit ribosomal RNA", at positions 569 to 1015 of the family's 1831-position model. The record is from RNAcentral. Lineage: Eukaryota; Fungi; Glomeromycota.